Molecule: long non-coding RNA, 378 nt
Organism: Cyprinus carpio carpio
Lineage: Eukaryota; Metazoa; Chordata; Actinopteri; Cypriniformes; Cyprinidae
Source: Ensembl
GGCCACGACUGUAGGUGCGACAACAUAAAUUUCAAAAGGGACCAUCAAAUGAAGUGAAACCACUUUAUUAAAUAAUAAUAAUAAAAAAAACAAUAAAUUGAUGUUAUAAUUUGACGUUGUCAGUAUUUGAUGUCAAUGUGACAUUGGCUUGAGACGUUGGCUCGACGUUGGGUUUAGGUUAGUUAAUAUCACAACCUAAAAACAAACUAAAGAUCAAAGUCAAAUGAUGUUAUAAUUGGACGUUGAUUGGACGUUACCAUUAUGACGUCUUGAAGACAUUGGAUUUUGGUUGCCAUACCUGACGACUAAGUAUCAGUUUUUGAUGUCAAUCUGACGUUGGCUUGAGACGUUGUCUUGAUGUUGGAUUUUGGUUAGUUA